ACGUAAAUUAAACCCAAACUCUCAUUUUGUCAGCUUCUGUGUUCAGCUCGGGCACGGGGCACCCCAUUCUCAUCGAGUCAUCGCCCUCCUCCGUCUCCACCGGCGAGCACUCCCUCCUCCUUCUCCACCGGCGAGCACGCCACUUUCGGGAUAUGUCCCUCCUCCCCAUAAAUACCCCCUAAAUCCUCCAUAGAUUUUCCAAUAAACCAGAAUUUAAUCGAAGUUCGUUGCUGAAUUCGUAAGCUUGGAAGUUUGUUCGGAAAUUGCUCGAUUUUUGUUGAAAUCAGGCUAUAAUUUACCAGCAAAAAGCUUUGGACAUCAAUAAGAGGGAACUGGGACUCAAUCACCCUGACACAAUGAAAAGUUAUGGAGAUUUAGAGGGUUUCUAUUACCGCCUUCAGCAUACAGAGCUGGCUCUUAAGUCUUCCACAACUUCUACUCAUGAUCGGCUUUUUUAUGUUCGAGGAGAGAGAAUAACUCCAACUUAGUUACUAGAGUCCCAGGUGUCUCCACGUAUUAUGGAGCAUGAUCUUGGGCCUGCAGUAUCCUUGAUCUGGAUAUUUUGGACCAUCUAGGUACUAGAUAUUAGUAAUCUCACUCUUGGACAACAGCAACAUAAGAUCUCGUUUCCUCUUGUUUACUUUGGAAGAGUGGAUUAACUAUAGUUUCUAUGGCUUUUGAUGCGGACUGGUUUUCAAAACUCCAAGGGAGGGGCCCUUUACCAAAAAGGAGUUGGAUGAAGUUCGAGGCAAGUGGGCUACUUACUUCAACAAUUGUGAACUACCCUCAGUGUAAUAAAUAGAGAAGACUUGUAGUUAUUCGUGACUCUUACAUUAUUUUGUUAUUUAUCGAUUUAAUUAAUUACAUUUGAAUUAAUUCGGUAAUAUUAUUGGAAAUUUGAAAUUUAUAUCA
This is a long non-coding RNA of Spinacia oleracea (spinach), 912 nucleotides long. RefSeq lists it as uncharacterized. The record is from RefSeq and is a predicted model, not a curated record. The transcript has 5 exons. NCBI's taxonomy places the organism in Eukaryota, Viridiplantae, Streptophyta, Magnoliopsida, Caryophyllales, Amaranthaceae.